UACUUUGCUGGUUAGCACCUGAAA
RNAcentral lists this non-coding RNA (24 nucleotides) under Rattus norvegicus (Norway rat). Lineage: Eukaryota; Metazoa; Chordata; Mammalia; Rodentia; Muridae. The record is from RNAcentral.